Molecule: long non-coding RNA, 606 nt
Organism: Xenopus laevis (African clawed frog)
Lineage: Eukaryota; Metazoa; Chordata; Amphibia; Anura; Pipidae
Exons: 2
Source: RefSeq, a predicted model, not a curated record
GUGAGUAUAGUGGCUGUGUGUGCUUUUUAGCAGUACAAAUGCUACUUUUAGAGCAUUCACCACUAUAUACACAACAGUUUUUUUUAUGUAUAGUUUUUUUAUGUCACUGCCAUUUCAAAUGCAAAGCAUGCAUCCGCCACAACGAGGCUAUCUCCAAGAGCAGUCAUUCCGAAACCUGAUCUGGGAGAAAGUGCAGACUAAAUAAAAUUUCAUUUUGACUUGGCCUCCCGCUGAGAAUGGGACUGCUUUGUUUCAGCCAACAGAAGCAGCAAGCCAGAAAGAUCUCUCUCCAGCCAAUGAAGAAGCUUUAUGCAGUACAUGUGACAGCUGUGGCAGAACAAUACAGUUUUGUGGCAUCCUAAAAUGUGAAACAGAGAAGAUUCAGAAGUAUACUCAGUAACAAGAUGGUCAUGAAAUGAAUUUCAGCCAUAAAUGUUAAAGUGCUUAGUGCACAGACUAUUUCAGAAGUAAUGCAAAGAUAAUAUGCUUUUUAAACUUUGUAAUGAUGGUCUCUGACUUGAAUUUGCACACAAAAAUACAGAAAUUUAGUUUUUUUAUGUGAAAUGAAUCUGUUAUGUUGCAUGAAAUAAAGAAUAUGACAACGCA